UGGGGAAUAUUGGACAAUGGGCGCAAGCCUGAUCCAGCAAUGCCGCGUGAGUGAUGAAGGCCUUAGGGUUGUAAAGCUCUUUCGCACGCGACGAUGAUGACGGUAGCGUGAGAAGAAGCCCCGGCUAACUUCGUGCCAGCAGCCGCGGUAAUACGAAGGGGGCUAGCGUUGUUCGGAAUUACUGGGCGUAAAGGGCGCGUAGGCGGCCUGUUUAGUCAGAAGUGAAAGCCCCGGGCUCAACCUGGGAAUAGCUUUUGAUACUGGCAGGCUUGAGUUCCGGAGAGGAUGGUGGAAUUCCCAGUGUAGAGGUGAAAUUCGUAGAUAUUGGGAAGAACACCGGUGGCGAAGGCGGCCACCUGGACGGACACUGACGCUGAGGCGCGAAAGCGUGGGGAGCAAAACAGGAUUAGAUACCCUGGUAGUCCACGCCGUAAACGAUGAAUGCUAGACGUCGGGGUGCAUGCACUUCGGUGUCGCCGCUAACGCAUUAAGCAUUCCGCCUGGGGAGUACGGCCGCAAGGUU
RNAcentral lists this ribosomal RNA (523 nucleotides) under uncultured bacterium. RNAcentral describes it as "partial 16S ribosomal RNA". It matches the Rfam family "Bacterial small subunit ribosomal RNA", at positions 355 to 895 of the family's 1533-position model. The record is from RNAcentral.